CUAGCAUAUCAAUAAGCGGAGGAAAAGAAACUAACAAGGAUUCCCCUAGUAACUGCGAGUGAAGCGGGAAAAGCUCAAAUUUAAAAUCUGGCGGUCUCUGGCCGUCCGAGUUGUAAUCUAGAGAAGUAAUGCCCGUGCUGGACCGUGUAUAAGUCUCCUGGGAUGGGGCGUCAUAGAGGGUGAGAAUCCCGUCUUUGACACGGACUACCAGUGCAUUGUGGUAUGCUCUCAAAGAGUCGAGUUGUUUGGGAAUGCAGCUCAAAAUGGGUGGUAAAUUCCAUCUAAAGCUAAAUAUUGGCGAGAGACCGAUAGCGAACAAGUACCGUGAGGGAAAGAUGAAAAGAACUUUGGAAAGAGAGUUAAACAGUACGUGAAAUUGCUGAAAGGGAAACGCUUGAAGUCAGUCGCGUUGGCCGGGGAUCAGCCUUGCUUUUGCAUGGUGUACUUUCUGGUUGACGGGUCAGCAUCAAUUUUGACCGCUGGAAAAAGACCUGGGGAAUGUGGCAGCUUCGGCUGUGUUAUAGCCCCUAGUCGCAUACAGUGGUUGGGAUUGAGGAACUCAGCACGCCGCAAGGCCGGGUUUCGACCACGUUCGUGCUUAGGAUGCUGGCAUAAUGGCUUUAAGCGACCCGUCUUGAAACACGGACCAAGGAGUCUAACAUGCCUGCGAGUAUUUGGGUGGAAAACCCAAGUGCGUAAUGAAAGUGAAAGUUGAGAUCCCUGUCGUGGGGAGCAUCGACGCCCGGACCAGAACUUUUGGGACGGAUCCGCGGUGGAGCAUGUAUGUUGGGACCCGAAAGAUGGUGAACUAUGCCUGAAUAGGGUGAAGCCAGAGGAAACUCUGGUGGAGGCUCGUAGCGAUUCUGACGUGCAAAUCGAUCGUCAAAUUUGGGUAUAGGGGCGAAAGACUAAUCGAACCAUCUAGUAGCUGGUUCCUGCCGAAUUUUCCCUCAGGAA
This 957-nucleotide ribosomal RNA is filed under the name Agaricus fissuratus. RNAcentral describes it as "partial large subunit ribosomal RNA". It matches the Rfam family "Eukaryotic large subunit ribosomal RNA", at positions 34 to 979 of the family's 3401-position model. The record is from RNAcentral. Lineage: Eukaryota; Fungi; Basidiomycota; Agaricomycetes; Agaricales; Agaricaceae.